RNAcentral lists this ribosomal RNA (252 nucleotides) under uncultured bacterium. RNAcentral's name for it is "partial 16S ribosomal RNA". It matches the Rfam family "Bacterial small subunit ribosomal RNA", at positions 524 to 776 of the family's 1533-position model. The record is from RNAcentral.
UACGUAGGUGGCAAGCGUUAUCCGGAAUUACUGGGCGUAAAGGGUGCGUAGGUGGUUUCUUAAGUCAGAGGUGAAAGGCUACGGCUCAACCGUAGUAAGCCUUUGAAACUGGGAAACUUGAGUGCAGGAGAGGAGAGUGGAAUUCCUAGUGUAGCGGUGAAAUGCGUAGAUAUUAGGAGGAACACUAGUUGCGAAGGCGGCUCUCUGGACUGUAACUGACACUGAGGCACGAAAGCGUGGGGAGCAAACAGG